Molecule: ribosomal RNA, 321 nt
Filed under: Triticum aestivum (bread wheat)
Lineage: Eukaryota; Viridiplantae; Streptophyta; Magnoliopsida; Poales; Poaceae
Description: partial small subunit ribosomal RNA
Source: RNAcentral
AUGAAACAUCGUGGUUGGAAAGGGAAUCCAAAAUGCUCUUUUUGCGGAGGAAGAGAGACCGCACAGCACUUGUUCUUCGCUUGCCCUGUUGCCAGGAUAACCUGGAGGGCAGUGGCAUGUAUGUUUGGCACUGCUUUAUGCCCUGAUAAUAUUUGGCAGGCCUACUCUUGGUGUUUUACAUUCUUACCUGGGGGGAAAAGUUCUAUACAGCAAGAAUCGUUGCUAUAUGCUGGGCGAUCUGGUCGUGUCGCAACAGGGCCACCUUUGAGUUCAAACCUCUUACAAGCCCGUUUGAAUGUAUCUUCUCUACUUGUGCCUUAA